RNA transcript from Apus apus (common swift), 4894 nucleotides. It is a transcript of the gene named solute carrier family 25 member 48, with no coding region annotated. The transcript has 9 exons. NCBI's taxonomy places the organism in Eukaryota, Metazoa, Chordata, Aves, Apodiformes, Apodidae. The record is from RefSeq and is a predicted model, not a curated record.
CCUUUAAGCUCCGGUGCGUGAUGUCACCGGGCUGGGUGCGGGUUGCGGCGGGGAGCGCUGCGGCGGGGACCCCUGCCCGCUGGGGGACAGCUGCCCGCUGGGGACCCCUGCCCGCUGGGGACCCCUGCCCGGUGAGUCCUUCUGCCCCGCGGGGUCUCCUGCCCGCUGGGGCACGCUGGCCCGUGGGAACACCCUGCUCGGUGGGAGCCGCUGCCUGCUGGGACCUUUUGGCCCUCGGGGAUCCCCGGCUCGGUGGGACCCCCCGCCCCGCUGGCAGGACGGGCUCGGCGCAGCAUGGGGAGCCUGCAGCUGCAGGAGUUCGCAGCGGGCUUGGUGGGCGGAACUGCCAGUGUGGUUGUGGGGCACCCCCUGGACACAGUCAAGACUCGUUUGCAAGCUGGACAAGGAUAUGGAAAUACACUCAACUGUGUUCUCACUGUGUACAGAAAUGAGUCUGUGGCUGGUUUUUUCAAAGGCCUGUCCUUCCCACUGGCCAGCUCUGCUGUCUACAACUCCCUGGUAUUUGGUGUCUUCAGCAACACACAACAGCUCCUCAGCCAGCUCCGUCAUGGAGACCCAUCUCACACCCCAGCGCUGGCUGAUGUGGCUCUGGCCAGUGUGGUGGCAGGGUUUGUGUCCGUGGGCAUUGGCACUCCUGUGGAGCUGGUGAAGAUAAGGCUGCAGAUGCAAACGCAGCCAUAUACCAAAGCAGACACUAAACUAAACCCCACAGUUCCUGGCUUUCCCGUGUACCGAGGUCCAAUCCACUGCUUUAGGACAGUCCUGCAGAAAGAAGGGAUAGCAGGAAUAUAUCGAGGUUCAGGAGCAAUGCUCCUGAGGGAUAUUCCUGGAUACUGCCUCUAUUUCAUCCCAUACAUGUGUUUCUGUGGGUGGAUCACCCCCGAGGGAUGCCUUUCCCCCAGUCCCUUCUCCAUCUGGCUGGCAGGGGGUAUAGCAGGAGCCAUUUCCUGGGGGACUGCUACUCCAAUGGAUGUUAUGAAAAGUCGACUUCAGGCAGAUGGAGUUUAUUUAAACAAGUACAAAGGGACCCUGGACUGUAUCAUGCAAAGCUACCAGAGCGAGGGCUUAAAAGUCUUUUUUAGGGGCAUCACGGUCAAUGCAGUGCGAGGAUUCCCAACAAGUUCAGCCAUGUUUCUUGGCUAUGAACUUUCCCUCAAAGCAAUGAAAAGAGACCAAACUGAGACCAAUCCUUAACUUCCAGGUGAAAUACCAAGGCUACUGGACCAUAGAACACCAAAUCUCUGAAAAGAUUAUGGAGGUCCUCUUGAGUGAGGACAACCUUGGGUCAUAAGGAGAAAUGUCUGGAGAAACAAGAACCUUGUACCUGGGGAAGCCCAGGCUGAGACUGGCUUCAAGACUGGCACAGAUAUGGCCUCACCUGCUGUCAAAGCACCAGGACACACACAGCUCAUCUUCAUGGACUGGACCAGCUGGUGGUUUGCUCCCCCAUGUUCACCAUCCAUGGAGGGAUUUCAAAGCCAUGUAGAUGUGGUGCUGAGGGACAAGGUUUAGUGGUGGAUUUUGCAGCAUGCUGGGUUAAUGGUUGGACUUGAUGAUUGGAAAGGUCUCUUCCAAACAAAAUGAUUCUAUGAUUCUAUGUUUCAGAACAUUUUAGCUCUAAUGUAGCUUACUUUACACAUAGUAUAGAAAAUUCUGCCAACUCUUGUGGAAGAGGGCCAGCCCAGUCUUGCUCAGGCAACUAGGUGUGAACCAGUAUCUCGUUAUUCAAUUGGGGCAGCUGUGUUUCAAUUAAGCAGCUGGCAGGAGUUUUUUCAAUGCUUCCAGCAUGAAAAGGAAGCUGCAAUGCAGGCCUGGCUGGUUGAGGACACUAACAUAGCCAUGGAGUGAAGGUUUUGUGCUGCUUGUUCAUCCUACGUGGUUAACCUUCCUCUGCAUGCUGUGCUGAGAGGGAAAUCCAGCACCCAGGGGUCAUCUCACAGUGGGACAAACAAGGAAGGGUGAGUGGAUUUGUGAUCUGACAGCUCUGCAAUGUUUCUCUUUUCUGGUGUGAAAGUGGUCAGGCCCACAAAAGGGGAUGCUGAAGUGAGAGCAAUGGCAGGAAAACCUUAAAAUACAGGAGAACUGGUGACCUUUGUGGACAAUUCCUGUUCUCCUCUGCAUACUUCUGGAGGCUGUUGGUUGCGAGAUGCCACGCACUGUGUGCAAUGCCCAGCAUGGCUGGCAUGUUGCCCUCAGGGCUUUUUACUUUUAGCUGUCUCAGUUCUCACUGCAUAUCACUGCAGCAUGGCAAGCUUGGGUACCCUGCUAGAAAUCCCAGGAAGGCUCUGGUGCCUUUUCUCUUGCCAGAAACAAAGAUGACUUGCAGCUCUGAAGAUCCCCCUCAGGUUUGCUUCCCCCACCUCACAGCUCCUGAGCACCACUAGUUUUGGUUAAUUAGUUUAAACAGUUUCAAAUGACUUCAGACUUUUCUGAAAGUAGUGGGGGCCUACCUACAGAAGCUAACAUGAGUCCUGAGGACUUCUGGUGGUCCAUCUGCUAGGACAGAGCAGAACAUAUGGCUAUCAGGAGGUGCCACUGCCCUCUUCAAGCUGCCUCAUGAAAUGUUCCCAGAGUUCAUCUGGAUUUAUGCCUUUCUGUCAUACACAAUCUUGCUAUUACUAUGCUAUGGUUUACUCUUUUGUGAAGGAAUUGGAAUGACCAUAUUUUCCUUCAUUUCUACACUGGCAUAUGUCAUCUUUAUGCAAAAGAAAGGAAAAGCAUUACUCCAAGCCUCCUUAUCUCUGGAAAAUGAAACUAUCAGUAGCAUCUUUUCAUUUGUGUUCUUUGCAAGCUCUUACAUCUUUUAUCAGUUUACACAGCAAGUGUAAAACAAGCUGGUAUGUUAUCUGGGUCUUCUUCUCGGGGAAUCUUUUUCUACAUUGAAAAACCCCAAGCUGUACAGACAUUACAGUGGGAUGCAAAUUUUCUCAUGAUAACUCAGAAGAUCUGAAGGUUCAUGCUGACCAGGCUAAAACAGUUAUUUGGAAACUGGAAAUUUGAGUGGUAUUUUCAGUCAACCAACCUCUCUCCUAAAUAGUGACAUUAAAAGAGAACAUAUCCCAAAGUAUUUACACAUAAACCAAAAAUGUACAGGACAUGAGAUGAGGAUUUCCAAGGAGCCAGACAAAACUAUCUGGAAGAUACCACAGAAAUAUAUUGCGGGAGUUUUGUGUGUUCACCUUUCCCAAAUACCUGUUCUAAGCUGGAAUCUCUCUACAUUUUGGCCUGUGUUGCUUGAAGAGAGAUUAAGGAAGAGGAACAGAGGGAAAUCAGAUACCUAGACAUGAGGACAACAUUUGAACUGCUGAGUUUCUUUCACACACAAAUGACAACGUAUCUGUGACAGCAAAUUGCAGCAGCUGGUCAUAAAAAUGAACACUUUUAAGAUACCAAAACCAAGUGAUUAAAGAUGACAUUAAAAAAGCUGGUCUUUUUGCUGGGAGGGCAGCAAAUAUUAAUUUCCACUGCCUUUAGAUCAGCCUCUAAAUGCUGGAAUAGAGCCUAAACUCUCCCAAGAGAAGCUGUAGCUGGUACUACUUGCUUCUGUGCCCAAUCAACUGUUGCUCUGGCCAGUACAUGGACGGUUCUUCCUCUGCUAGCUUGACUUCUUGGGAUUUCUGGUUCACUGUAAAUUGAAUAGAGCUUCCCUGGGGACCUGUUUGCCCUGGAACAAUGGCAGCAUGAGAUGGAUGUCACUAAGAAAUCAAAGAGAAAUGAAGAGAUGCAGAGCAAGGGCUGGCACUGCUGGCAGACAGAGACUGCAAGGAGGAACUGUGGGCUUGGGGAGCAGCUCUGGAACUCCUGCCAUUCUGAUUUUCCAAUAGUAACAAAAAUACAAAUCUUGUCCUUUUGGGUGGUAGGCCUGGGAAGAAGUUAUCUCAUCUGCUUGCUGUCCAGUGAACACCUCAUGUAUGUAAAGAUCCUAAUUAUCCACCUUGCAUGCAAUUCAUGCCACUAAUCACUUUCACUUACAGAGCAUGGCAGCUGCCCUGAGAUAUCAUUCCUCAGGGAAAGAGGCCCUAGAGACACUGCUUAGUGUAUCAAAUUUGGUAAAAUUCUUGCAAAGACAGAGUGUAGCAAUUGCUGGGCAAAAUGUGAUUUCUAAUUAACAUUCUUAAAAAUAAGAAGCAGUAGAAACUGCUAGUUGUCACAAAAAGUCCCUUGCUCCUCUUUCAUCGUGGCUUCUUACCAUAUUCCUUGCACAACCUUGGCUAAAUCAAAGAGACUUGUGAAUUCCUUCCUAUAAAAAACAUGUCAAAUCAUCUUUCAACUGUCUGAGAAACAAAGUGUUCCACAAAUGUUACACAGAAUUUAUUUGGUUCAGGGAUUUAUGCUUUGAACUAAUUGUUGCAGCUCUUGCCGUGGGGCUUUACUGGGUGACGAAACGGAGAGCAAGGUGCCCACUGCUCUGCUUGAGCAAAAAGCUCUUUCCUCAAGGGACACCUACAUGUCAUGGGAAUCUUUUUAUUGCUUUUCAGGGAACCACAGGCUCUUGAUCCAAAAUCAAUAUUUUUAGCCCAGUGCCUUGAAAGAUGUCACUGCCUGACUCGUACUCAAUGCGCUUUUGUGCAUCUGUGGAUGGUUACCCAGCCUGCUGACAGCUUCAGCUUGCCAAGGGAGGGCUUCUGGCUUCUUCUAGGUAUUCCCUAGGGCAUGUGUGAAAGCUGUAGCUGCAUAAUGGGAUGUUCACUUCCCACGUUAAAUCACCGAAGGAGGAAUGUCAAAGGAAAGGCAAGGGAGCAUCCGCCCCAGCCUGGAGCUGGUGCUGGGUGUGCAGGCAGUGAGGCAGGGCAGGAGCAGCAGGCAGAGCCUCCUCUUCUCUCCAGGACAGUUUCCACAGAGGGAUCGUGCUCACCCUUCAGCUAGACUGACC